RNAcentral lists this transfer RNA (65 nucleotides) under Tychobythinus sp. 1 EF-2015. RNAcentral's name for it is "tRNA-Ala". The record is from RNAcentral. Lineage: Eukaryota; Metazoa; Arthropoda; Insecta; Coleoptera; Staphylinidae.
AGGAUUAUAGUUUAUAUAAAAAAACAUUUAAUUUGCAAUUAAAAAAUACUUAUAAGUUUAUCUUA